This 1020-nucleotide long non-coding RNA is filed under the name Vulpes vulpes (red fox). RNAcentral's name for it is "lncRNA (ENSVVUG00000002159.1)". The record is from RNAcentral. Lineage: Eukaryota; Metazoa; Chordata; Mammalia; Carnivora; Canidae.
GGGCACUUGGGCUAAAUGUGGCUGCUGCUGUUUUAUAGAACUAAUUUCAUUAGAAUAUUAAUAUGCAGCAUCACCCACUCCCCGACCUGUCGGUGGGUCUGGUGCAGCCUUCUAGCCACAAGGGCAGAACUCAGUAGUGGCCAUAAAGAAUGCACGUCCAACAAAAGUCAAGGUUGGUCCUUUACACCAACACUACUGAUCGGGAUAGGGGUGUAUAUGCUGAUGCCCGUAUGAACAUGAAACUGUUAAAACAAAUAUGAGAAAGAGUAACUAGAAACAACAACAAAAGAUGGUGCCUUCUUUGAAGUCCCCGUGGAGCCCAGAACCGAAUGGGUCUGCAAACUGCUGCAGGAAGAAGGCUCAGGAACUAACCACCCAAGGGUUUAGGGACCAAGAGCCCACAGACAAGAACCUAGUGUAAUCCCAUCCCUCCCCCUGCCUGGGUGUGGUCCCACAGUCUCUAGUAGGAGGGGCUUGGUGGGCCUGGGAUCAUAUAAAAGCCCUGCACUCUGCAGCCUGGUCAGUGGCAGAUCUGGUCCUCAGGUGUUCAGACGUGUGGCUUGGGCAGGAGACUUGCUGAAAUGGAAGCGGCUGCGAGUGGCAGGAGGCCUGGCCAGGAACCCCUGGGGAGGCGAGGUGGCUCCCACAGAAAUUCCAAAGGGAUUUGCCCCAAGGCAGACGUGUCCUUUGCAGAGAAAGGAGAGGAUGCCCGUUCCUGUGAGAGGCAGAGGAAGGCCGGCACCACGGAGCCCAGAGAGGGCUUGCAGAGCACAGGAGCGGUCACCAGGCCGAGCCAGGGCGCCAGGGGCCCUGCGCACAAGCGACCGAGAAGCGCCGACGGCCGCCCCGACGGUCACUGCAGAGAGAACGGACCGCAAGCGGCGGAGCCGGCGCGGGGAGGACGGUCUCCAGCCCGCGGGCGCAGCGAGGGACGGCCCGGCAGGAGAGGUGGGCGUCGGGGCGGGCUCUGCAGCCGGGAGCUCCCGUGGGGGGCGGCGCGCGGGAGGGGGAGGGCGUGCG